RNAcentral lists this ribosomal RNA (601 nucleotides) under uncultured Russula. RNAcentral describes it as "eukaryotic LSU rRNA". It matches the Rfam family "Eukaryotic large subunit ribosomal RNA", at positions 46 to 627 of the family's 3401-position model. The record is from RNAcentral. Lineage: Eukaryota; Fungi; Basidiomycota; Agaricomycetes; Russulales; Russulaceae.
AUAAGCGGAGGAAAAGAAACUAACAAGGAUUCCCCUAGUAACUGCGAGUGAAGCGGGAAAAGCUCAAAUUUAAAAUCUGGUGGCAUUAUAGUCAUCCGAGUUGUAAUUUAGAGAAGCGUCUUCCGCGCUGGACCAUGCACAAGUCUCCUGGAAUGGAGCGUCAUAGAGGGUGAGAAUCCCGUCUUUGGCAUGGACACACCAGGGCUUCCGUGAUGCGCUCUCGAAGAGUCGAGUUGUUUGGGAAUGCAGCUCAAAAUGGGUGGUGAACUCCAUCUAAAGCUAAAUAUUGGCAAGAGACCGAUAGCGAACAAGUACCGUGAGGGAAAGAUGAAAAGCACUUUGGAAAGAGAGUGAAACAGUACGUGAAAUUGUUGAAAGGGAAACGCUUGAAGUCAGUCGCGUCGGACAAGACUCAGCCUUGCUUUGGCUUGGUGUAAUUCUUGUUUGACGGGUCAGCAUCAAUUUUGGCCUUUGGAUAAUGAUGAGAGAAAGGUGGCACCUUUACGGGUGUGUUAUAGUCUCUUGUCGGAUACGAGGGUCGGGAUUGAGGAACUCAGCAUGCGCCUUUUGGUGUCGGGGCUUAGGCCUACGUUUACGUGCU